UACGGGAACAAAUCUGGACUGUUCGAUCGCAGGCACACAGAUUGCCAAUGUGGCCUCUCGUGUGGCACCAUGUCAACGUGUCUUGCCACGCGGCGCACUCCGGUUCGUCGGGGCUGCUAACUGGGCAGUCCCACAUGGCAUAUUUUUCCUAUAUUAUAUCUUGACCAUCAGUUUCUAAUUUUUCUUUCAAAAAUACCUCCAUAACCU
Molecule: long non-coding RNA, 207 nt
Filed under: Carica papaya (papaya)
Lineage: Eukaryota; Viridiplantae; Streptophyta; Magnoliopsida; Brassicales; Caricaceae
Description: long non-coding RNA (CPAP_LNC011651)
Source: RNAcentral